This 253-nucleotide ribosomal RNA is filed under the name uncultured bacterium. Its description in RNAcentral is "partial 16S ribosomal RNA". It matches the Rfam family "Bacterial small subunit ribosomal RNA", at positions 524 to 776 of the family's 1533-position model. The record is from RNAcentral.
UACGUAGGGUGCGAGCGUUAAUCGGAAUUACUGGGCGUAAAGCGUGCGCAGGCGGUUGGUUAAGUCUGAUGUGAAAGCCCCGGGCUCAACCUGGGAAUGGCAUUGGAAACUGGCCAGCUGGAGUGUGGCAGAGGGGGGUGGAAUUCCCGGUGUAGCGGUGAAAUGCGCAGAUAUCGGGAGGAACACCUAUGGCGAAGGCAGCUCGCUGGGACGUUACUGACGCUGAGACGCGAAAGCGUGGGGAGCAAACAGG